UGGGGAAUAUUGGACAAUGGGCGCAAGCCUGAUCCAGCCAUGCCGCGUGAGUGAUGAAGGCCCUAGGGUUGUAAAGCUCUUUCACCGGUGAAGAUAAUGACGGUAACCGGAGAAGAAGCCCCGGCUAACUUCGUGCCAGCAGCCGCGGUAAUACGAAGGGGGCUAGCGUUGUUCGGAUUUACUGGGCGUAAAGCGCACGUAGGCGGACUAUUAAGUCAGGGGUGAAAUCCCGGGGCUCAACCCCGGAACUGCCUUUGAUACUGGUAGUCUUGAGAUCGAGAGAGGUGAGUGGAAUUCCGAGUGUAGAGGUGAAAUUCGUAGAUAUUCGGAGGAAAACCAGUGGCGAAGGCGGCUCACUGGCUCGAUACUGACGCUGAGGUGCGAAAGCGUGGGGAGCAAACAGG
This 404-nucleotide ribosomal RNA is filed under the name Actinomycetes bacterium. RNAcentral's name for it is "Actinobacteria bacterium partial 16S ribosomal RNA". It matches the Rfam family "Bacterial small subunit ribosomal RNA", at positions 355 to 776 of the family's 1533-position model. Lineage: Bacteria; Bacillati; Actinomycetota; Actinomycetes. The record is from RNAcentral.